Molecule: ribosomal RNA, 1458 nt
Filed under: Triticum aestivum (bread wheat)
Lineage: Eukaryota; Viridiplantae; Streptophyta; Magnoliopsida; Poales; Poaceae
Description: partial small subunit ribosomal RNA
Source: RNAcentral
AUGUCACUGCUUAGUAGAUUCUUCUACAAGAGGCCUCCCGAUGGACUACUGGAGUUCAUUGACAGGAUCUAUGUUUUUGAUUCAUGCUUCUGCACUGAAGUUUUGCCGCAUGGAAUGUACCCAGUCUAUUUGAAUGGAAUUCUUACAGAGUUGCAUGAAGAGCAUGCAGAAUCUCAAUUUCUGGCGAUUAACUUCAGAGAUGGGGAUAAGAGAAGCCAGCUUGCUGAUAUCCUACAUGAAUAUGAUAUUCCAGUAAUUGACUACCCACGUCAUUUUGAAGGCUGUCCAGUGCUUCCUCUAUCUCUUAUACAGCAUUUUCUUCGUGUCUGUGAACACUGGCUAUCUACUGGGAACAGCCAAAAUAUCGUACUACUCCAUUGUGAGAGAGGGGGCUGGCCAUCAUUGGCAUUUCUGCUAUCUUGUUUUCUUAUUUUCAAGAAGUUGCACAGUGCAGAACAUAGAACUCUGGACAUUGUUCACCGUGAGGCCCCUAAAGGGUUCCUACAGCUAUUUUCUGCACUCAACCCAAUGCCGUCUCAGCUUCGAUAUAUGCAGUAUGUAGCCAGAAGAAAUAUCUCUCCAGAGUGGCCUCCUAUGGAGCGGGCGCUCUCUUUGGAUUGUCUGAUCCUUCGAGCUAUUCCAAAUUUUGAUUCUGAUAAUGGAUGUAGGCCAUUGAUCCGAAUUUUCGGUCGAAAUCUUCUUGGCAAGAAUGCUAGCAUGACUGACAUGAUUUUUUCAAUGCCUAAGAAGAAGUCCUUGCGCCACUAUCGACAGGAGGACUGUGAUGUGAUAAAAAUUGAUAUCCAGUGUCCAGUCCAGGGAGAUGUUGUUCUGGAGUGCGUACAUCUUGAUCUUGAUCCAGGAAAGGAAGUUAUGAUGUUCCGGAUAAUGUUCAAUACUGCUUUUAUCCGUUCAAAUGUACUGAUGCUGAAUAGUGAUGAUGUUGAUAUACUCUGGGGUUCAAAAGAUCGGUACCCGAAGAAUUUUAGAGCAGAGGUACUGUUUUGUGAAAUUGGGGGCAUUUCUCCUCCAAGGGCUCCAACAGUAACAUUGAAUGGUGAUAUGAAAGGUGGUUUACCAAUUGAAGCCUUUUCAGCUGUUCAAGAACUCUUCAAUGAUGUUGAAUGGAUGGAAAGCGGUGACAAUGCUGCUUUUUGGUUGCUCAAAGAAUUCUCAGCAAACUCUCUGCAAGAUAAAUUUCAAAAGCUAAUACUCAGCGACAUGAAAGAGCUUUCGAAGUUCCAAGCUAAAGUUGGCCUCCAGAUGCCACCAAUGUCUCCACUGGAUUCUGAUGAAGAAAAAUAUUCUGCGGCUUCUGAUUCCGGUUAUUCAGUAGAUUAUGAGAAGGUUCAACAUGGUGGGAACUCAUCUGACUCAGAGAACAUUGAUCGUUCUCUUACCACUGAAGAUUCUGAAUCUAUUGGUACAUCUAUUUACACAAGUUAUUUUUCUUGUUGA